GAUGAACGCUGGCGGCGUGCCUAAUACAUGCAAGUCGAGCGAACAGACGAGGAGCUUGCUCCUCUGACGUUAGCGGCGGACGGGUGAGUAACACGUGGAUAACCUACCUAUAAGACUGGGAUAACUUCGGGAAACCGGAGCUAAUACCGGAUAAGAUAUUGAACCGCAUGGUUCAAUAGUGAAAGACGGUUUUGCUGUCACUUAUAGAUGGAUCCGCGCCGCAUUAGCUAGUUGGUAAGGUAACGGCUUACCAAGGCAACGAUGCGUAGCCGACCUGCGCGGGUGAUCGGCCACACUGGAACUGAGACACGGUCCAGACUCCUACGAGAGGCAGCAGUAGGGAAUCUUCCGCAAUGGGCGAAAACCUGACGGAGCAACGCCGCGUGAGUGGUGAAGGUCUUCGGAUCGUAAAACUCUGUUAUUAGGGAAGAACAAAUGUGUAAGUAACUAUGCACGUCUUGACGGUACCUAAUCAGAAAGCCACGGCUAACUACGUG
Molecule: ribosomal RNA, 497 nt
Filed under: uncultured bacterium
Lineage: Bacteria
Description: partial 16S ribosomal RNA
Rfam family: Bacterial small subunit ribosomal RNA
Source: RNAcentral